UACGGGAGGCAGCAGUGGGGAAUAUUGCACAAUGGGCGAAAGCCUGAUGCAGCUAUGCCGCGUGUAUGAAGAAGGCCUUAGGGUUGUAAAGUACUUUCAUCGGGGAGGAAAAACAAAACUAAUAAUUUUAUUUCUUGACGUUACCCGAAAAAGAAGCACCGGCUAACUCCGUGCCAGCAGCCGCGGUAAUACGGAGGGUGCUAGCGUUAAUCAGAAUUACUGGGCGUAAAGAGCACGUAGGUGGUUUUUUUAAGUUGGAUGUGAAAUCCCCGGGCUUAACCUGGGAAUGGCAUUCAAGACUGGUUAGCUAGAGUCUUGUAGAGGGGGGUUAGAAUUCCAUGUGUAGCGGUGAAAUGCGUAGAGAUGUGGAGGAAUACCGGUGGCGAAGGCGGCCCCUGGACAAAGACUGACGCUCAUGUGCGAAAGCGUGGGGAGCAAACAGGGAUUAGAUACC
This 454-nucleotide ribosomal RNA is filed under the name uncultured bacterium. RNAcentral's name for it is "bacterial SSU rRNA". It matches the Rfam family "Bacterial small subunit ribosomal RNA", at positions 340 to 786 of the family's 1533-position model. The record is from RNAcentral.